AUAUUUGCAGCUUGUUAUUCAAAAGCAAUCAAGAUGGUGAAGUUCACAGCAGACAUGCUCAGGGGGAUUAUGGACAAGCAGAAUAAUAUAAGGAACAUGUCUGUUAUUGCUCAUGUGGACCAUGUUGCUGGUGACGUUCGCAAGACUGGUACUCCUGCAUAUGAAGCGGAGCGUGCUAUUACAAUAAAAUCCACUGGUAUCACUCUUUUCUAUGAGACGACUGAUGAAUCACUCGGGGCAAGAGAGAUGGGAAAGAGUACUUGAUGAAUCACUCGGGACAUGUUGAUUUCCCUUCGAAAGUCUACUUUGGUCGUGGUUGGCUGAUGAAUUCUAAUAUGAUAGAUGUUGCUUAUGCAUUGUCUGGUCUUUAUUUAUCAAUGACUCAUUAUUGUAGCCACCUUGAGUGAAUCCAAUAAUUAUAAUCUACAAUUUUUAAAACUCUGUGAUUAAA
Molecule: long non-coding RNA, 451 nt
Organism: Lolium rigidum
Lineage: Eukaryota; Viridiplantae; Streptophyta; Magnoliopsida; Poales; Poaceae
Exons: 2
Source: RefSeq, a predicted model, not a curated record